AUUGAACGCUGGCGGCAGGCCUAACACAUGCAAGUCGAGCGGAUGAAGGGAGCUUGCUCCUGGAUUCAGCGGCGGACGGGUGAGUAAUGCCUAGGAAUCUGCCUGGUAGUGGGGGAUAACGUCCGGAAACGGGCGCUAAUACCGCAUACGUCCUGAGGGAGAAAGUGGGGGAUCUUCGGACCUCACGCUAUCAGAUGAGCCUAGGUCGGAUUAGCUAGUUGGUGGGGUAAAGGCCUACCAAGGCGACGAUCCGUAACUGGUCUGAGAGGAUGAUCAGUCACACUGGAACUGAGACACGGUCCAGACUCCUACGGGAGGCAGCAGUGGGGAAUAUUGGACAAUGGGCGAAAGCCUGAUCCAGCCAUGCCGCGUGUGUGAAGAAAGUCUUCGGGUUGUAAAGCACUUUAAGUUGGGAGGAAGGGCAGUAAGUUAAUACCUUGCUGUUUUGACGUUACCAACAGAAUAAGCACCGGCUAACUUCGUG
This 484-nucleotide ribosomal RNA is filed under the name uncultured bacterium. RNAcentral's name for it is "partial 16S ribosomal RNA". It matches the Rfam family "Bacterial small subunit ribosomal RNA", at positions 30 to 507 of the family's 1533-position model. The record is from RNAcentral.